This is a long non-coding RNA of Carcharodon carcharias (great white shark), 403 nucleotides long. RefSeq lists it as uncharacterized. NCBI's taxonomy places the organism in Eukaryota, Metazoa, Chordata, Chondrichthyes, Lamniformes, Lamnidae. The record is from RefSeq and is a predicted model, not a curated record. The transcript has 3 exons.
AUAGGAGCAGAAGUAGGCCUUUCGGCCCCUCGAGUCUGCUCGAGCCCUGUGGGUCACCCAGACACUUGAUAACAGCAGUGGCAAGGAUGGGAAUGCAGCAGAAUUCUGAGACUCUGUGCCUUACACUUUCAGUCCAGGAUUGUGUGUCAUCCCAGAGUUGUAUUGAUUCUUUUGGUCAGGUGCAUGGAUGUUCUUCCAAGGAAAGCAAGGAGCCCAGAAACUUGUUAAUGUGAGGGGGUUUACACUUAAAUCAGCUGGGAGGAGAGGACCAUGGCUGUGCAGCUUGCCCCUGAACCUGCUUUCAGUUUACUUACGACUCGAAGUUCAGCAGCAGGAAUCUGUGACUGUGUAGGUGCCUCGAAUGCUUACAAUUCCCUCCCAUAAGCUCAAGAAACAAGUCAAC